This 65-nucleotide transfer RNA is filed under the name Dipodomys ordii (Ord's kangaroo rat). It matches the Rfam family "tRNA". Rfam says of the family: Transfer RNA (tRNA) molecules are approximately 80 nucleotides in length. Their secondary structure includes four short double-helical elements and three loops (D, anti-codon, and T loops). Lineage: Eukaryota; Metazoa; Chordata; Mammalia; Rodentia; Heteromyidae. The record is from Rfam by way of RNAcentral.
GGUGGCUCAGUGGUAGAGUGCUUGCCUUGCAUGCAUGAGACCCUGGGUUCAGUUCCUCAGCACCA